Molecule: ribosomal RNA, 433 nt
Filed under: uncultured bacterium
Lineage: Bacteria
Description: partial 16S ribosomal RNA
Rfam family: Bacterial small subunit ribosomal RNA
Source: RNAcentral
AACGAACGCUGGCGGCAUGCCUAACACAUGCCAGUCGAACGAGACCUUCGGGUCUAGUGGCGCACGGGUGCGUAACGCGUGGGAACCUGCCCUUAGGUUCGGAAUAACUCCCCGAAAGGGGUGCUAAUACCGGAUAAUUUCUUCGGACCAAAGAUUUAUCCCCUUUGGAUGGGCCCGCGUUGGAUUAGCUAGUUGGUAGGGUAAAAGCCUACCAAGGCGACGAUCCAUAGCUGGUCUGAGAGGAUGAUCAGCCACACUGGGACUGAGACACGGCCCAGACUCCUACGGGAGGCAGCAGUGGGGAAUAUUGGACAAUGGGCGAAAGCCUGAUCCAGCAAUGCCGCGUGAGUGAUGAAGGCCUUAGGGUUGUAAAGCUCUUUUACCCGGGAUGAUAAUGACAGUACCGGGAGAAUAAGCUCCGGCUAACUCCGUG